CGUUGGAUAUUAUUGAUUGGUCGUGGAAAGAAGAUAACAAUAAUGACAUCCUCAAGUGAGAAACGUCCAGUUGUAAUACGCUAGGAAGGGAGGACAGGCUCCUUGUUUACCGGGUCGAUUUAUGUUACGAGGGGGAGCCCAACGUUUUGGACCCUUGCGUCUUCGAUGAAUCAUAGAAUGAAGAAAUAGCUGUAUGAUGCAGUGUAUUUAAAAAACAAAUCUCCAUACUGUCCUUGCUGUUUACAACAUUGUGUAUUUUCGCGACAUUGUAUCUCAAGAUUUGCAAAAAUAAAGGUGAUAAUAUGGCCAUUUCAGUGACAACAUGUGAUGACGAAUCUCAUUUAGCUUCAUUUCUCGUGUUCGUGAAAAGCGGUCUAUAACCAGCACGUUAUCGAUUUCAGCUUCUGUUUAAGGUGAAGGCCGUACCUGACUGACGCGCUAGAUUAAGUGUGUAGGCGAGAGAAUUAGAAGGCAAAGCACCAGACAUGCCAUACAUCUUCACGGUACAUCAGAACCAUGAUGACAUUUAUUGAUUUGGCGACACGUGGAUCUUCCUUUGGUAGAAGAACACGUCUGGUCCAACCCAGUCGUAUUAUCGGUCAUCAGAUUAGCUUCAACAGACACUUCGCUUCCCGAUAACACGUUUUUCAUCCUAUUUUUGCUUUAUACAAGUUCACCUUGCUUCCAAGCCCUUGUAGUUACAUAUUGCUAUUUUUUUGCCUGUGUACCCUCAUUCAAUACUGCUUUUGUUUUGAUGUGUGGAUGUGAAAGUACGAGAAUGUGUUAUAUUUUUAUGUGUAAAAUAAACU
RNAcentral lists this long non-coding RNA (809 nucleotides) under Mizuhopecten yessoensis (Yesso scallop). RNAcentral's name for it is "uncharacterized LOC110465916, transcript variant X2". Lineage: Eukaryota; Metazoa; Mollusca; Bivalvia; Pectinida; Pectinidae. The record is from RNAcentral.